RNA transcript from Aegilops tauschii subsp. strangulata, 2189 nucleotides. RefSeq lists it as uncharacterized. The record is from RefSeq and is a predicted model, not a curated record. NCBI's taxonomy places the organism in Eukaryota, Viridiplantae, Streptophyta, Magnoliopsida, Poales, Poaceae.
CCCUGGUUCCCAAACACUCGCCGCCGCCCCCUGGUUCCCAAACACUCGCCGCCGCCCCCUUUGCUGUUGGAUCCGCGGCCAUGGAGGAAUCCUUCACGGCCCCCUCCGUCGAUCCCCCCUCCGUCGACCUCCCCGCCGUCGAUCCCGCCUCCGUCGACUCCCCCGCCGUCGAUCCCGCCUCCGUCGACUCCCCCGCCGUCGAUCCCGCCUCCUUCCACCCCCCUGCAGUCGAUCCCGCCAGCGCCAACCCAUCCCGCUACCCCUCCUGGGUCCUCCUCGACAGCAGAGCCUACUUCGCCCGCCCCAUCAACGCCACCACCGUGAAGGCCACGACGAGCACGGGCCACAACUUCGAGGUCACCUUUUGUCUCGCCCGGCCGCCUGCCGUCUCCUACUUCUGCGUUCACUUUCCCGGAAUCAACGUACUAGAGUGUUGCAUCACGGAGCCCCGCGUCAUUUCCUCCGCCAAUGACCUCGCGCUCCUAUGCUUUCCCUUCAGAACUGGCACAUCGAGCACCUACGACUACUUCGUCUACAGGGCUGCCUCCAGCAAGCCCACCAUCAGAUCGGUCCCGUGUCCUCCUCCAACCUACAGGCACUCAUGGCACGCAGCCAUCGUAUCCCGCGAGGAUGGCAGUUUUUUGGUCGCCGAUCUUUCCCUGGGUCGGGACCUUGGGCACUACAACCUGCAUAUCUUCUCGUCGGUGACAGACGAGUGGAGCACCCAACAUGUGCAGCUGAAGGAGCAUCCCGGUAUCCUGCCAAAGCUAACUCACAAGGUGAUCUCUCUUGGAGAAGGAACAGUGGGAUGGGUCGACCUCUGGCGCGGCAUUGUUGUCUGUGAUGUGCUUCAGAAGGAUCCUGUUCUCCGCUUCAUCCCGCUGCCCAGGCCGCUGCCCAAGGCUGAUUAUGACGAGCCCCCGGAAAGCCAAGCAUUGGCCGAUUAUGACGCGCGGUCAGUGCGGGACGUCACCGGCUUCCCCAAUGGUUUCAUCGACUUCAUCGAGAUCGAACAUUGUUUCAAAUGGUCUAAGUUUAUCAACAUGAGGAGUUUCAAGACGACGGCCUAUCUUGAUUUCCUAGAUACCAUCAGUGAUAAUGACCUCCUUAGGUAUCAUGAAGAGGACAUUAUGGAGGAUAAAAUUAAGUGUGCACCUGAUGGCUGGAAGAUCCGAACAGGCUUUAGGAGCAUUUCUUGGAACCAUUGGAGAAAAGGGUACAAUUUCCAUGUUGAUGACAUAUCAGCCGAACCACAACUUGCUCUGCAGCUACUUCACCUGUGGGAUAGUAGAACUGAGAAAUGCAGAGUGAGAAACCUGAAGACUACACCAGGCUUCCCGACCUUCACCAUUUAUGGUCGUGCUAUUGUCCUCAUGUCUAAGGUGGGUGUCGACCAAGUCACAUGGAUGCUUGGUGUAGAUCUUUUGAAGAAGUCGCUGGAAGUCAUCAAGCCAUACCAUGCCUCGAGAGUCGAUUAUUACAAUCCGACCUUCAUUUCCUGUGAAUUCUCCAAAUAUCUGAAUACCGCUCCAAUUCAAAGGCUAUAUGAUGAGCAAGUUGCAGCAGAGUCUGCUCAGAAUGAGGAAGUUGCAGCAGAGUCUGCACAGAAUGGUGUGCCUAAUGAUCAACUUCCAUUGGGGGAUACUGUUCCAAACAAUGUGGUGAACCCUUGUACAGCAACCCCAGCAAUACAAGUGGAAUGGGGGUGUUCCCAUUAGGACUUCUAAUGAAUAUGGUUUUGGCGAACACCAAGACGACUAUCAGCAGCUACCCAGUCUGACACAAACUGGGCAGCACACGUCGUCUUCAACUUCAACUCAAUUAGUGCCAUCAAGUGAAAUGUGCAAGCUGACGAUGGUGCCCCCCUUUGAUGCCUCCAAGGCCAGUGCAGCUUGCACAACCCCUUCGCUCCAAGGUGACUGUUGAUGAAUGACUUUGACGGCUGUCCUCAACCAUGGCCAACAUCACCACAUGAAGCCAUUUUUUCAUCUCGUGCACCUGGCGAGCUGGUGGAAUAUCAUGGUUGAUGACCUGGAAUGUCAACAAAGUGUAUGCUCUAGCAUGUCGCUGAUGUGCUGACAUGUUCACAGACUCUACCACCAUCUGUUAUCAUAUCAUGGACGAUGCUUUAAAACAUUUGAAUACUUUAAUGUGUCUAUGGAGUUAUGGACCUUAUUAGCCUUUGUUGA